Molecule: ribosomal RNA, 441 nt
Filed under: uncultured Rikenellaceae bacterium
Lineage: Bacteria; Pseudomonadati; Bacteroidota; Bacteroidia; Bacteroidales; Rikenellaceae
Description: bacterial SSU rRNA
Rfam family: Bacterial small subunit ribosomal RNA
Source: RNAcentral
AUGUGGUUUAAUUCGAUGAUACGCGAGGAACCUUACCCGGGCUCGAACGGUGCAGGAUAUGGUAGAGAUAUCAUAGCUAGCAAUAGUCUGUAUCGAGGUGCUGCAUGGUUGUCGUCAGCUCGUGCCGUGAGGUGUCGGCUUAAGUGCCAUAACGAGCGCAACCCUUGUCGUUAGUUACCAUCAAGUAAAGUUGGGGACUCUAGCGAGACUGCCACCGUAAGGUGUGAGAAGGGGGGGAUGACGUCAAAUCAGCACGGCCCUUACGUCCGGGGCGACACACGUGUUACAAUGGUAGGUACAGAGGGGCGCUAUCCAGUGAUGGAGUGCGAAUCUCAAAAACCUAUCUCAGUUCGGAUUGGAGUCUGCAACUCGACUCCAUGAAGUUGGAUUCGCUAGUAAUCGCGCAUCAGCCAUGGCGCGGUGAAUACGUUCCCGGGCCUU